UAACUUAGUGGCGGACGGGUGAGUAACGCGUGAGUACCUGCCUUUCAGAGGGGGAUAACGUUCUGAAAAGAACGCUAAUACCGCAUAACAUCGCAUGAUCAAAGGAGCAAUCGCUGGAAGAUGGACUCGCGUCCGAUUAGCCAGUUGGCGGGGUAACGGCCCACCAAAGCGACGAUCGGUAGCCGGACUGAGAGGUUGAACGGCCACAUUGGGACUGAGACACGGCCCAGACUCCUACGGGAGGCAGCAGUGGGGGAUAUUGCACAAUGGGGGAAACCCUGAUGCAGCAACGCCGCGUGAGGGAAGAAGGUUUUCGGAUUGUAAACCUCUGUUCUUAGUGACGAUAAUGACGGUAGCUAAGGAGAAAGCUCCGGCUAACUACGUGCCAGCAGCCGCGGUAAUACGUAGGGAGCGAGCGUUGUCCGGAUUUACUGGGUGUAAAGGGUGCGUAGGCGGCGAGGCAAGUCAGGCGUGAAAUCUAUGGGCUUAACCCAUAAACUGCGCUUGAAACUGUCUUGCUUGAGUGAAGUAGAGGUAGGCGGAAUUCCCGGUGUAGCGGUGAAAUGCGUAGAGAUCGGGAGGAACACCAGUGGCGAAGGCGGCCUACUGGGCUUUAACUGACGCUAAAGCACGAAAGCAUGGGUAGCAAACAGGAUUAGAUACCCUGGUAGUCCAUGCCGUANACGAUGAUUACUAGGUGUGGGGCGUCUGAUCCUCCGUGCCGCAGUUAACACAAUAAGUAAUCCACCUGGGGAGUA
This 758-nucleotide ribosomal RNA is filed under the name uncultured bacterium. RNAcentral describes it as "bacterial SSU rRNA". It matches the Rfam family "Bacterial small subunit ribosomal RNA", at positions 88 to 882 of the family's 1533-position model. The record is from RNAcentral.